This 93-nucleotide non-coding RNA is filed under the name Cytophagales bacterium. Its description in RNAcentral is "SAM-I sequence". It matches the Rfam family "SAM riboswitch aptamer (S box leader)". Rfam says of the family: The SAM riboswitch is found upstream of a number of genes which code for proteins involved in methionine or cysteine biosynthesis in Gram-positive bacteria. The SAM riboswitch acts at the level of transcription termination control. The record is from RNAcentral. Lineage: Bacteria; Pseudomonadati; Bacteroidota; Cytophagia; Cytophagales.
UUUUUAUACAGAGGCGUGGAGAGACAGGCUCCGUGAAGCGCCGGCAACCAUCGGGAAAGUCUCGAACGGUGCCAAUUCCUGAGCAUAUAAAAA